AACGAACGCUGGCGGCAUGCCUAACACAUGCAAGUCGAACGAGACCUUCGGGUCUAGUGGCGCACGGGUGCGUAACGCGUGGGAACCUGCCCUUAGGUUCGGAAUAACUCCCCGACAGGGGGGCUAAUACCGGAUAAUGUCUUCGGACCAAAGAUUUAUCGCCUUUGGAUGGGCCCGCGUUGGAUUAGCUAGUUGGUAGGGUAAAAGCCUACCAAGGCGACGAUCCAUAGCUGGUCUGAGAGGAUGAUCAGCCACACUGGGACUGGGACACGGCCCAGACUCCUACGGGAGGCAGCAGUGGGGAAUAUUGGACAAUGGGCGAAAGCCUGAUCCAGCAAUGCCGCGUGAGUGAUGAAGGCCUUAGGGUUGUAAAGCUCUUUUACCCGGGAUGAUAAUGACAGUACCGGGAGAAUAAGCUCCGGCUAACUCCGUG
This 433-nucleotide ribosomal RNA is filed under the name uncultured bacterium. RNAcentral describes it as "partial 16S ribosomal RNA". It matches the Rfam family "Bacterial small subunit ribosomal RNA", at positions 29 to 507 of the family's 1533-position model. The record is from RNAcentral.